This 591-nucleotide long non-coding RNA is filed under the name Equus asinus (donkey). Its description in RNAcentral is "lncRNA (ENSEASG00005026379.1)". Lineage: Eukaryota; Metazoa; Chordata; Mammalia; Perissodactyla; Equidae. The record is from RNAcentral.
GUAAGUGAGAGCUGACUUUAUUGCAAGUGCGCACAUGCCAAGAAUGCAGCACAGUUUUCUACAAGCAAUCUCCGCCUUAAGUUUCCGUCUUGAUACUAUGACAUUCUUGUGGGACGUCAACCUGUUCUGGCUUUUCCUGCCUGGGUUCCACAGAGCGACAGACAACAAGAGUCGAUUAAACCUGUUCAGCUACUAUUUGAAGGUUUAUCUAUUUGGAAGUGGCUUAUAACCCUCUCCAAAAUGAAAAGGAAAAUCUGCUUGUAGGAAUAUAACUGUAUUUUGAUAGAAUCAGUUCUGACGCGAUACUACGAAGGACUAGAAGCCUUGGACUCUGGAGUUUAAAUCGCGGGAAAUGAGGCUCCCUCCAGUCUGUCUGUCGUAAUACCUGAAGUGCCACCUCAGAUCUCAGUGAUACUCUGUAAACAUGAUCGGCAAGAAGGGGUGUCCGUCGGCAAACAACCAAAAUGCAGAAUCAUCAUUGAAUGGUCUCAGAGGUGCCGAAGAGUAUUGCUCCUGAAAUCUCCUCCAUCCAUGGCUGAAAUUUAAAGGCUUGGGGUGAUUGAGAGAACAACCUGCGCACAUCAUUCCAGU